Diospyros lotus (date-plum) is the source of this 810-nucleotide long non-coding RNA. RefSeq lists it as uncharacterized. Lineage: Eukaryota; Viridiplantae; Streptophyta; Magnoliopsida; Ericales; Ebenaceae. The transcript has 3 exons. The record is from RefSeq and is a predicted model, not a curated record.
CGUUCAAAACCAAAGAUGUUUGGGAGUUGUUAGUUUUAUAGUGUUUGUUAGUUUAGUAUUAGUUUAUAUUUCAGUUUAGAGAUUUUCCUUAGACAAAGUUUAUAGUUUUCAGUUUGUGUUUACUUAGAGUUUUAUUUUAGUUGAUUGAGAUAAUCAUUAUAGUAUCAGAUUUUAGUUUAUCAGUUAGUUUUAUUUUAUUACCCGUAGCACCUCUUCUCAGGCAAUGCUAGGAGAUGGGGUGUUACAAUACAAGUUAUAUGGUGAGUAUUUUGAGAGCUACAGAUUAAGCAACAAUGAAAACAAGUUGAAAGUCAUAAAAUUGCUUCAGGCAAUGGUUUGAGCACUAAAGGAAAGCUAAGUGGAAGGGCAAAAUUUGAUAGUUUUAUAAGAACUGUUAACGCCACUGAAUUAGGAAAAUUAGAGUUAGAUGUUUAUUUGGAGGAACCCAUUUACAUUUGUAAUGAAGAUGACAAUGUCUUUGAUGUGUUGGAAUGGUGGAGGAUGAAUAAUUUGAGGUUUCCUAUCUUGUCCAAGAUGGUUUGUGAUGUCUUGUCAAUUCCUAUUAUCACAGUUGCUUCAGAAGCAACUUUUAGUGCUAGUGGUCGGGUUAUAGAUCAAUACCAUUUGAAUUUGGGAAUAGACACAGUUCAAAUGUUGCUAUGUGGUGAGGAUUGGUUUAGAGCUUUUUAUGGCAUCAAAAGGAAAAGAGAAGAUAAAGACAUCACUGAGAUUCUUCUGCCAUAGACUUAUUGCUAUAUGAAACAAAACAAGGUUGAUGUUUGGAGCAGGUAGUUUGAAGUCAAAUUGAAA